AACGAACGCUGGCGGCAUGCCUAACACAUGCAAGUCGAACGAAGUCUUCGGACUUAGUGGCGCACGGGUGCGUAACGCGUGGGAAUCUGCCCUUGGGUGCGGAAUAACUUCUCGAAAGGGAUGCUAAUACCGCAUAAUGUCGUAAGACCAAAGAUUUAUCGCCCAAGGAUGAGCCCGCGUAAGAUUAGCUAGUUGGUGGGGUAAAAGCCUACCAAGGCGACGAUCUUUAGCUGGUCUGAGAGGAUGAUCAGCCACACUGGGACUGAGACACGGCCCAGACUCCUACGGGAGGCAGCAGUGGGGAAUUUUGGACAAUGGGGGGCAACCCUGAUCCAGCCAUGCCGCGUGAGUGAAGAAGGCCUUCGGUUGUAAAGCUCUUUCGGACGGGAAGGAUAAUGACUGUACCGGAAGAAUAAGCCCGGCUAACUUCGUGCCAGCAGCCGCGGUAAU
RNAcentral lists this ribosomal RNA (450 nucleotides) under uncultured bacterium. Its description in RNAcentral is "bacterial SSU rRNA". It matches the Rfam family "Bacterial small subunit ribosomal RNA", at positions 29 to 524 of the family's 1533-position model. The record is from RNAcentral.